UAUUAAUUUAUUUAGCAAAAAAAUGCAUUAAAUUUAGAAUUUAAUUAAACUAUAAUU
RNAcentral lists this transfer RNA (57 nucleotides) under Stephanopis barbipes. Its description in RNAcentral is "tRNA-Leu". Lineage: Eukaryota; Metazoa; Arthropoda; Arachnida; Araneae; Thomisidae. The record is from RNAcentral.